Molecule: non-coding RNA, 91 nt
Filed under: Saccharicrinis fermentans DSM 9555 = JCM 21142
Lineage: Bacteria; Pseudomonadati; Bacteroidota; Bacteroidia; Marinilabiliales; Marinilabiliaceae
Rfam family: TPP riboswitch aptamer (THI element)
About the family: Vitamin B(1) in its active form thiamin pyrophosphate (TPP) is an essential coenzyme that is synthesised by coupling of pyrimidine and thiazole moieties in bacteria. The previously detected thiamin-regulatory element, thi box was extended, resulting in a new, highly conserved RNA secondary structure, the THI element, which is widely distributed in eubacteria and also occurs in some archaea. Analysis of operon structures identified a large number of new candidate thiamin-regulated genes, mostly transporters, in various prokaryotic organisms.
Source: RNAcentral
UACAAUGGGGUGCCUGAUACGUAGCAGGCUGAGAUUAUACCCUUCGAACCUGGACAGGUAAUGCUGUCAAGGGAAAAAGAUCAUCUCCAAG